AACGGAGGGUGCGAGCGUUGUUCGGAAUUACUGGGCGUAAAGCGCGUGCAGGUGGUCUUUUAAGUUUCGUGUGAAAUCCCCCGGCUUAACCGGGGAGCUGCGCGGAAAACUGAAAGGCUUGAAUACGGGAGAAGAGGGCGGAAUUCCCAGUGUAGAGGUGAAAUUCGUAGAUAUUGGGAGGAACACCGGCGGCGAAAGCGGCUCUCUAGACCGAUAUUGACACUCAUACGCGAGAGCGUGGGUAGCAAACAGG
RNAcentral lists this ribosomal RNA (253 nucleotides) under uncultured bacterium. Its description in RNAcentral is "partial 16S ribosomal RNA". It matches the Rfam family "Bacterial small subunit ribosomal RNA", at positions 524 to 776 of the family's 1533-position model. The record is from RNAcentral.